This 21-nucleotide microRNA is filed under the name Mus musculus (house mouse). RNAcentral describes it as "mmu-miR-12184-3p". Lineage: Eukaryota; Metazoa; Chordata; Mammalia; Rodentia; Muridae. The record is from miRBase by way of RNAcentral.
ACAGACGGGCUCUCAUGCUGA